AGUGAACGCUGGCGGCAGGCCUAACACAUGCAAGUCGAGCGGCAGCGCGGGGGCAACCCUGGCGGCGAGCGGCGGACGGGUGAGGAAUUCGUCGGAAUCUGCCUUUUUGUGGGGGAUAACGUAGGGAAACUUACGCUAAUACCGCAUACGUCCUACGGGAGAAAGUGGGGGACCGCAAGGCCUCACGCAGAAAGAUGAGCCGACGACCGAUUAGCUAGUUGGUGGGGUAAAGGCCCACCAAGGCGACGAUCGGUAGCUGGUCUGAGAGGAUGAUCAGCCACACUGGGACUGAGACACGGCCCAGACUCCUACGGGAGGCAGCAGUGGGGAAUAUUGGACAAUGGGUGCAAGCCUGAUCCAGCCAUGCCGCGUGUGUGAAGAAGGCCUUUGGGUUGUAAAGCACUUUUGUCCGGAAAGAAAUCCCUGGAGCUAAUACCUUCGGGGGAUGACGGUACCGGAAGAAUAAGCACCGGCUAACUUCGUG
Molecule: ribosomal RNA, 484 nt
Filed under: uncultured bacterium
Lineage: Bacteria
Description: partial 16S ribosomal RNA
Rfam family: Bacterial small subunit ribosomal RNA
Source: RNAcentral